UACGUAGGGUGCGAGCGUUGUCCGGAAUUAUUGGGCGUAAAGAGCUCGUAGGCGGUUUGUUGCGUCGGCCGUGAAAACCUGCAGCUUAACUGUGGGCCUGCGGCCGAUACGGGCAGACUUGAGUUCGGUAGGGGAGACUGGAAUUCCUGGUGUAGCGGUGAAAUGCGCAGAUAUCAGGAGGAACACCGGUGGCGAAGGCGGGUCUCUGGGCCUUACCUGACGCUGAGGAGCGAAAGCAUGGGGAGCAAACAGG
RNAcentral lists this ribosomal RNA (253 nucleotides) under uncultured bacterium. RNAcentral describes it as "partial 16S ribosomal RNA". It matches the Rfam family "Bacterial small subunit ribosomal RNA", at positions 524 to 776 of the family's 1533-position model. The record is from RNAcentral.